GGACCUUCGGGCCUUGCGCUAUCAGAUGAGCCUAGGUCGGAUUAGCUAGUUGGUGAGGUAAUGGCUCACCAAGGCUACGAUCCGUAACUGGUCUGAGAGGAUGAUCAGUCACACUGGAACUGAGACACGGUCCAGACUCCUACGGGAGGCAGCAGUGGGGAAUAUUGGACAAUGGGCGAAAGCCUGAUCCAGCCAGGCCGCGUGUGUGAAGAAGGUCUUCGGAUGUAAAUCAAAGGAGUUGGGAGGAAGGGCAUU
Molecule: ribosomal RNA, 255 nt
Filed under: uncultured bacterium
Lineage: Bacteria
Description: partial 16S ribosomal RNA
Rfam family: Bacterial small subunit ribosomal RNA
Source: RNAcentral